Molecule: ribosomal RNA, 775 nt
Filed under: Helix pomatia (Roman snail)
Lineage: Eukaryota; Metazoa; Mollusca; Gastropoda; Stylommatophora; Helicidae
Description: partial 16S ribosomal RNA
Source: RNAcentral
UGAGCUAAACGCGCAUAUGGUGUAUUCGCGUGCGUCGCAUAGCACGUAUUAAAUGCGCGUUUAGGGGUGAUAGGCUUUUCAAACGUUCGUAUAACUUGUUUCAUAUGAAAAGUAUUUAGUACCUAAACAAAUUUGAAAAGUUAAGCUUUUAAAUUAUUAUUAAAGAUAUUAUUCCCUUGUAGUGUAGUUUAAUAGCUAUCUACAUAGUAACUUAACAUUAAGUAUGUUAGUUUAUAUAUUAUAGUAUGACUUUAACAAUUUUGUUAAUAAAUUGAAAAUGUUAGUAUUAGUAAUAUUAGUAUGUGUGCUAAAGGAACUCGGCAAAAAACCGCUCAACUGUUUAUCAAAAACAUAGCUAUAUGAAUUAGUAUAUAGUUGUUUCUGCUCAAUGACUUAAAUAGCCGCAGUACUCUGACUGUGCAAAGGUAGCAUAAUCAGUUGGCUUUUAAUUAAAGUCUGGUAUGAACGAAAAUAUGGGUAGUAACUGUCUUAGCACAUUUCUUUGAACUUGUUAAACAAGUGCAAAUGCUUGUAAUUAAACAAUAGACGAGAAGACCCUAGAAACUUGGACAUAUUUUUGUUGGGGCGACAGAAUUACAUUUAACUAAUCUUCUAAUACACGACGCGAUGCUGAAAGAAUAAGUUACUCUAGGGAUAACAGCAUAAUUUCAUUAGUUUGUGACCUCGAUGUUGGACUAGGUACUAUACCCUUAAGGCAAGGAUAUAUUGUGCUCUGUUCGAGCAAAAUUACCUACAUGAUCUGAGUUCAGACCGG